RNAcentral lists this ribosomal RNA (459 nucleotides) under uncultured bacterium. Its description in RNAcentral is "partial 16S ribosomal RNA". It matches the Rfam family "Bacterial small subunit ribosomal RNA", at positions 338 to 795 of the family's 1533-position model. The record is from RNAcentral.
CCUACGGAGGGCAGCAGUGAGGAAUCUUGGUCAAUGGCCGUAAGGCUGAACCAGCCAAGUCGCGUGAAGGAAGAAGGAUCUAUGGUUUGUAAACUUCUUUUCUAGGGGAAUAAAGGUAUCCACGUGUGGAUAUUUGCAUGUACCCUAUGAAUAAGCAUCGGCUAACUCCGUGCCAGCAGCCGCGGUAAUACGGAGGAUGCGAGCGUUAUCCGGAUUUAUUGGGUUUAAAGGGUGCGUAGGUUGUUUUUUAAGUCAGCGGUGAAAGUUUGUGGCUCAACCAUAAAAUUGCCGUUGAAACUGGAAGACUUGAGUGUGUUUGAGGUAGGCGGAAUGCGUGGUGUAGCGGUGAAAUGCAUAGAUAUCACGCAGAACUCCGAUUGCGAAGGCAGCUUACUAAGCCAUAACUGACACUGAAGCACGAAAGCGUGGGGAUCGAACAGGAUUAGAUACCCAGUAGUC